GACGAACGCUGGCGGCGUGCUUAACACAUGCAAGUCGAACGGAAAGGCCCUGCUUUUGUGGGGUGCUCGAGUGGCGAACGGGUGAGUAACACGUGAGUAACCUGCCCUUGACUUUGGGAUAACUUCAGGAAACUGGGGCUAAUACCGGAUAGGAGCUCCUGCUGCAUGGUGGGGGUUGGAAAGUUUCGGCGGUUGGGGAUGGACUCGCGGCUUAUCAGCUUGUUGGUGGGGUAGUGGCUUACCAAGGCUUUGACGGGUAGCCGGCCUGAGAGGGUGACCGGCCACAUUGGGACUGAGAGACGGCCCAGACUGCUACGGGAGGCAGCAGUGGGGAAUAUUGCACAAUGGGCGGAAGCCUGAUGCAGCAACGCCGCGUGCGGGAUGACGGCCUUCGGGUUGUAAACCGCUUUCGCCUGUGACGAAGCGUGAGUGACGGUAAUGGGUAAAGAAGCACCGGCUAACCACGUG
This 468-nucleotide ribosomal RNA is filed under the name uncultured bacterium. RNAcentral describes it as "partial 16S ribosomal RNA". It matches the Rfam family "Bacterial small subunit ribosomal RNA", at positions 28 to 507 of the family's 1533-position model. The record is from RNAcentral.